AUCGCAGUCCAUGCUGUAAGGUACUUUAAUUUAUAAUUGAAGUGCUGCUUGGACUACAUAUGGUUGAGGGUUGUAAGACUAUGCUAAACAAGUUGCUUAUUUUCUUUUAAAAUAUAAAAGAAAAAAGCACAUGUUGUAUUACUGGAUAUUUUAUUCAUAAUACUAAUAGCUAAAGAUACAAAACCUCUCAAUGAAUAAAAUCAGAGUAUUUUAAUAAUAUGUUUAAAUAUUCUUUUUUUAUUGAGGAAGGUCUAGCAUAAAAAUUUAUGAAACUARAAUUGCCUCUUUAAUAUAAAGAAUCUCAUUUWUGUGGAUAUAAAGAAAARAUUUUAUUC
Molecule: ribosomal RNA, 335 nt
Filed under: Chrysomya chloropyga
Lineage: Eukaryota; Metazoa; Arthropoda; Insecta; Diptera; Calliphoridae
Description: eukaryotic LSU rRNA
Source: RNAcentral